UUCCACAUUGAAUUAUACAUUUAGCAAUACUUCAUCAGUAUCUGUAAAAAUUGCCUGUACUUUGCUCUAAGCAAUGGCUUACACACACACACACACACUUACUUUCUAGUGUUAUUUCCUCCCCUUUAUAUCUGCCAGAUUUCUCCCUUAACUUCCAGCUGUGUAGCAGAAAUAACCUAAUCGCUUGUUUUUUACAAUAAAAUGUAUUUCUCUUAGCUGUCCAAUAGGCUUAAAAGAAUGUCACCCACGAGAAUCUUAUGUACUUUGUAGGAGGGAGCAUUCUGACAAGUCAAAAGAGAAUCAGGAUCAUGAACGCACUGAAAUCUCAGCUGCUGCUAUUCGCCUCAUACAGAUCAAUGGAACAACUGACCAAAUUACCCAGGCAGGAUGCCUCAUUUGCUUUUUAUCUUAACUGGACAGGGUCAAUAAUUUUUCAGAGAAGAUCAGAUUAAUGCAGGCUGUGAACGUAGAAUCACAGUUUCCCCGUAUCUGGGCAGAUUAUAUUUAUUAUAUUAACGGAAAAUGGAAUCCCAGAACACAUCAUUGCUCUCAUGAGAAACCUAUACACAGGCCAGGAAGCCAGAGUCCAGACGGAAUACAGUAAAACAGACUGGUUCCAGAUCAGCAAGGAGUAAGACAAAGCUGUAUACUUUCUGCUUAUUUAUUCAACUUAUAUGCUUAACAUACACUGAGAGAAGCUGGAUUGGAAGAAGAUGAGUGUGGUUUUAAAGUUGGAGGAAGAAACAUCAAUAACCUGCGCUAUACUGAUGACACCACUCUGAUAGCUGAGAAUGCAGAUGAUCUGCAAGCUCUAGUAAUGAAAGUCAAGGAGCACAGUGAAAAAAUGGGACUAUGAUUAAAUGUAAAGAAGACUAAACUAAUGACAACGGGUACAGCAACCAGCCUCAGAAGUGAUAGUGCAGACAGUAGUAGUAGUAGUAUGUAGUAGUAAUAAUGCAGACAUUGAAGUAGUAGAUAGCUUCUGCCUUUUAGGAUUGACCAUCAACAGUAAAGGAUCCAGCAGUCAAGAAACAUGCCACAGACUAGCACUUGGUUGGAUAGCAAUGAAGGCCUUGGAAAGGAUAUUUAGAUGCAGUGACGUGUCUAUACCUACAACGAUUAGAAUCGUUCGGACAAUGGUUCUCUCUGUGACAUUCUAUGGAUGCGAAAGUUAGACUUGGAAGAAGCAAGAUAGAAAAAGCAUUGACGCUUUUGAACUUUGGUGUUGGAGAAGAUUUUUGAGGAUACCAUGGACAGCCAGGAAAACAAACAUAGAACAAAUCAAUCCAGAAUUUUCACUUGCGGCACAAAUGACCAGGCUCAAACUAUCAUACUUCAGACACAUUAUGCGAAAACCCAGCUCCCUUGAGAAGUCCAUAAUCCUGGGAAAAUUUGAAGGAAAGAGAAGAAGAGGCCGACCAGCAGCAAGGUGGCUGGACUCGAUUACGACAGCAAUGAAUGCACCACUGAGAGACCUUAAAGGCCAAGUUGAAGACAAAUCAUCCUGGAGAUAAUCUAUCUAUGUGGUGACUAAGAGUCAACACCGAUGUGACAGCAUUUAAUCAAUCAAUCAAUCAAAUGAUGCAUUUUAAUUGUUCUACCUGUUCUAUGAUGCUUAUGUAGUGUACCUGGAGUGUGCACGAAUGGUUCAUUGCCAAACCGGUUUGCCUUGAACCAGGCCAAUUUGGAGGUCAAUCACAGACCAAACUGGGGGCAGUUCGGUCCAUGAUUGAACUGAACAGGCCCAGUUCGGGAAAGCUAGUUUGGCAACAAAUGGGCAGUUGGGCAGGGACGGUGAAAGAGGUAGUUAGAUCCUUACUCCUGCUAACUGAUCAAAGAGGCAUCCUUUUAAAGUGGUGAGUCUCUUUAUUUAGCAGGGGGAGAGUGGUGAUUCUCUUUAUUUAGCUGGACCUAUCCAUCCCCAGCACAGCAUCAUUCCAAUGGCUGUUGCUGGUGUCUAUAUGUUUGUUUGUUUGUUUCUCUUUCUUUCUUUCUUUCUUUCUUUCUUUCUUUCUUUCUUUCUUUCUUUCUUUUCCAGAUUGUGAGCCCUUUGGGGACAAGGAGCCGUGUGUGUGUGUGUGUGUGUGUGUGUGUGUGUGUGUGUGUGUAAACUACUUUGGAAACUUUAGUUGAAAAGUAGUAUAUAAAUAUUUGUUGCGUUGCAUUGCAUUGCAUUGUAUUACCCAGCCAACGUAGCUGCUGGUGCUGCUGGUGCUGUCGCUCACCCUCCCUGGCGCAACCCAAGCACAUGCUCUGCCUUGUUUAGGAAACCACCUGCACAGCAGCAGAACAGUUCUAGCAUCCACACGUGUGGACACCAUCUGCGUGGCAUGCGUGCAUGUGGACACCAUGCAAAUGGCAUGCACACAUUGGUGGAGACUGGAACCACUCCGCCAUCAUGCAGGCAGUUUCCUAAACAAGGCAGAGCAUUCACUUGGGGUCACAUGAAAUGUUCAUAAACAUUUGAACUGUUCAGGGAAUGCCGGUCCCUGCUGCUGCACCAGCACGAUGAGGCGGGCUACAGGGUUGUCCCCUCAUCACAUGAUGAUGGGCACAGCAUUGCCAUCUUGCCUCCCCCUACACGUGACCAGGACUGGCCAAUCAUGUAGGGAGGAGGGCCAUUUGUAGCACCGGCCGCCUCCAUUCUGAGCAGUCACUCCCUAGCUUGGAACCCACCCACCCUACACUCUGUGAAGGAUAGCCGGUCGUCUGCAGGAGCCAAGUCGGAAUUUUGGGGUCCGUGCCUGAUUGGCACUAGGUGUGGCCUUUUUUUGCCUAGUUCUCACUGAGGUUUAGGUCUUAGGUAUGCACUGAAGGUAAUUGGUCACUUGGCAGGAGAGUGCAGGUUUGGGGUAGGUAGAUUGAUUGUAGGUAUUUGGCUGGAGGGCCAUCUGGGGUGGGGGGCAGAGGAACAACCCUUAAGGGUUUUUGAACCCCGGGGGGUUGGGAAUGGCCCUGCUCGGGGGGUGGCCCGACUCACCAACUCAGAUUCGGUGGCUUGAGUUGGGGUGGGUUGGUUGCCCCCCUCUCAGCGGGGUUAAGCCUCACAGUGAAAGGAGAUCAGUACCUGGCUCCUGACUGAAUCAGUACUUAGCCCUUCUCCCUGGUGUGGGACGGCCCUCCUUAGGAGGUGGUCCCACAUGGGAGGAGUACCCACAUUCUGGUUAGUUAGGUACCUUGUUGCAAGUCUUAUUCCAUGUACAUUAAUAAAGUGGCCCUAUUUUAAACCGCCAGGAUUGUUUUAAUGAAAGGCGGUAUAUAAAUGUAACAAUAAAUAAAUAAAUCCGCCUUGGGAUUGGUAUAUAAAUGUAACAAUAAAAAUAUAAAUUUUACUCCAA
Long non-coding RNA from Hemicordylus capensis (graceful crag lizard), 3338 nucleotides. RefSeq lists it as uncharacterized. Lineage: Eukaryota; Metazoa; Chordata; Lepidosauria; Squamata; Cordylidae. The transcript has 2 exons. The record is from RefSeq and is a predicted model, not a curated record.